This 517-nucleotide long non-coding RNA is filed under the name Homo sapiens (human). RNAcentral's name for it is "non-protein coding lnc-THAP7-1:1". The record is from RNAcentral. Lineage: Eukaryota; Metazoa; Chordata; Mammalia; Primates; Hominidae.
CCAAAGUGCAGCGGGCGGUGUGCAUGCUGAGCAACACCACGGCCAUCACGGAGGCCUGGGCCUGCCUGGACCAUAAGUUCGGCCAAGUGCGCCUUAGUGCACUGGUACGUGGGGGAGGGCAUGGCAGUGGGGGAAUUCUCCGAGGCCCGCGAGGAUCUGGCAGCUCUGGAGGAUUAUGAAGAUGUGGGCAUGGAUUCCGUGGAAGCUGAGGCUGAAGAAGGCGAAGAAUAGUGAGGGGAGGGUGCGGCAGGCAACCAUCCCUCUGUAUUCCCCACCAUAACGCUAGGAGAGCUAAUUACCUAUUAAAAUUUCCGUAUUGCAAAUUAGCCGGGCGUGGUGGCGGGCGCUUGUAGUCCCAGCUACUGUGGAGGGUGAGGCAGCCGAAUGGCGUGAACCCGGGAGGCGGAGUUUGCAGUGAGCCGAGAUCGCGCCACUGCACUCCAGCCUGGGCGACAGAGCGAGACUCCGGUCUCAGGAAAAUAAUAAUAAAAUAAAAAAUAAAAUUUCUGUAUUGCGA